UACGAGAGGCCCAAACGUUAUUCGGAUUUACUGGGCUUAAAGAGUUCGUAGGCGGCGCGGAAAGUAGGGUGUGAAAGCCCUCGGCUCAACCGAGGAAUUGCGCUCUAAACUGCCGCGCUCGAGGAACCUAGAGGUGAGCAGAACUGAUGGUGGAGCGGUGAAAUGCGUUGAUACCAUCAGGAAUACCGGAGGCGAAGGCGGCUCACUGGGGGUUAUCUGACGCUGAGGAACGAAAGCCAGGGGAGCAAACGGG
Molecule: ribosomal RNA, 253 nt
Filed under: uncultured bacterium
Lineage: Bacteria
Description: partial 16S ribosomal RNA
Rfam family: Bacterial small subunit ribosomal RNA
Source: RNAcentral